UGGGGAAUCUUGGACAAUGGGCGAAAGCCUGAUCCAGCAAUGCCGCGUGUGUGAAGAAGGCCUUCGGGUUGUAAAGCACUUUUGUCCGGAAAGAAAUCCUUGGCUCUAAUACAGUCGGGGGAUGACGGUACCGGAAGAAUAAGCACCGGCUAACUACGUGCCAGCAGCCGCGGUAAUACGUAGGGUGCAAGCGUUAAUCGGAAUUACUGGGCGUAAAGCGUGCGCAGGCGGUUUGCUAAGACCGAUGUGAAAUCCCCGGGCUCAACCUGGGAACUGCAUUGGUGACUGGCAGGCUAGAGUAUGGCAGAGGGGGGUAGAAUUCCACGUGUAGCAGUGAAAUGCGUAGAGAUGUGGAGGAAUACCGAUGGCGAAGGCAGCCCCCUGGGCCAAUACUGACGCUCAUGCACGAAAGCGUGGGGGAGCAAACAGGAUUCAGAUACCCUGGUAGUCCACGCCCUAAACGAUGUCAACUAGUUGUUGGGGAUUCAUUUCCUUAGUAACGUAGCUAACGCGUGAAGUUGACCGCCUGGGGAGUACGGUCGCAAGAUUAAAACUCAAAUGAAUUGACGGGGUCAUAGCUGUUUCCU
This 587-nucleotide ribosomal RNA is filed under the name uncultured bacterium. Its description in RNAcentral is "partial 16S ribosomal RNA". It matches the Rfam family "Bacterial small subunit ribosomal RNA", at positions 355 to 1375 of the family's 1533-position model. The record is from RNAcentral.